GACGAACGCUGGCGGCGUGCUUAAUACAUGCAAGUCGAACGGUAAGGCCCUGUGGGUGGUACACGAGUGGUGACCGGGUGAGUAACAGGAAAGUAACCAUCCCACAACUAUAGGACAAGGCUAGGAAACUGGUACUAGUACUGGAUAUGUGUACUUUCUGCAAGGGGGGGGUUCGAAAGCUCCGGCGGGUGUGGAUGGACUGGCGGCCUAUCGGCUUGUUGGUGUGGUAGUGGCGUACCAAGGCGGCGGCGGGAGGCCGCCCUGUGGGGGUGACCGGCCAUACUGGGUCUGAGAGACGGCAGCGGUUGCUACGGGAGGCAGAAGGGGGGAAUAUUGCCCGAUCGGCGCAAGGCUGAUGCAGCAAGGCCGCGUGCGGGAUGACUGCCUUAGGGUUGUAAAACGCUUUCAGCAGGGACGAAGCAUUUUGUGACGGUACCUGCAGAAGAAGCACCGGCUAACUACGUG
This 465-nucleotide ribosomal RNA is filed under the name uncultured bacterium. RNAcentral describes it as "partial 16S ribosomal RNA". It matches the Rfam family "Bacterial small subunit ribosomal RNA", at positions 28 to 507 of the family's 1533-position model. The record is from RNAcentral.